This 413-nucleotide ribosomal RNA is filed under the name uncultured bacterium. RNAcentral's name for it is "bacterial SSU rRNA". It matches the Rfam family "Bacterial small subunit ribosomal RNA", at positions 28 to 436 of the family's 1533-position model. The record is from RNAcentral.
GACGAACGCUGGCGGCGCGCCUAACACAUGCAAGUCGAACGAGAGAUGAGGAGCUUGCUCUUCAAAUCGAGUGGCGAACGGGUGAGUAACGCGUGAGGAACCUGCCUCAAAGAGGGGGACAACAGUUGGAAACGACUGCUAAUACCGCAUAAGCCCACGGCUCGGCAUCGAGCAGAGGGAAAAGGAGUAAUCCGCUUUGAGAUGGCCUCGCGUCCGAUUAGCUAGUUGGUGAGGUAAUGGCCCACCAAGGCGACGAUCGGUAGCCGGACUGAGAGGUUGAACGGCCACAUUGGGACUGAGACACGGCCCAGACUCCUACGGGAGGCAGCAGUGGGGAAUAUUGCACAAUGGGGGAAACCCUGAUGCAGCGACGCCGCGUGGAGGAAGAAGGUCUUCGGAUUGUAAACUCCUGU